Non-coding RNA from Vicugna pacos (alpaca), 949 nucleotides. NCBI's taxonomy places the organism in Eukaryota, Metazoa, Chordata, Mammalia, Artiodactyla, Camelidae. The record is from RefSeq and is a predicted model, not a curated record.
GCAGUUGCCUGAGAGCAAGGCCGAGGCCUGUUUCAGGGCCCAAAGCCCGGGAUUGUCACUGCCCCCAGCAGCCCGAGUCCGAGACUCCCCACCACAGUCCUCUUUUCUGCUUUCUCUUCCAGCCGCUGCUGGCAGCCCCAAGCCGGGGUCAGGAUCCUGGAUGUUAGAAGCCACUGCUGCCCCUUCACUCUCCUGAAGCCGUCUCCUCCUCCUGCUUCCGCUCAGAGCCCCUGCGCCCUGGCCCCGCUCACCGCCAGACCCUGGAAUGUCAGGGCCUGGCCCGCGCAUGCCUGUUCAGCCCGUGGAACCCUGAUGGCCCCACCAAAGAUGAUGGGCCAGGCCGAUGUCCCGAUCACCCUAGGGGUUUUCCAUCUGCUGCUGCUGCUGCUGCUUGGGCACCAGCCAAGUGCGGCCUCAGAGGCGGAUGUGUGUCCUGGGGUGGGCCGUGCCCCAUGCUGGUGCAGGACAAGUUCUUCAAGUACUUCUUGGCGGCCACUGAGUUCUCUGCCAGUGCUUUGCGCUUCUCCUGGACCCUGUGCAACCCGAACCUGCACCACUACAAGCUCUGCAUGAAAGUGGCCAAAGUGCCCACCUGCAGCAGCCCCACCUGUGUUGGAAUCUACCAGUUGGAAUCCUUCCUGGAGUCCACACCCAGCUACCUGGACCUGGAGAUCUGUGACGGUGCUAAGGCUCUGCGACACCUCAGGGCCCGUGCCCCUACUGCAGGCCAGCAAUCAGUUCCUGCAGAUGAAGGGACAGCUGCCGCCGCAGAAAGAUGAUCCUGGACUCCAGGGCGGGGCCCUCCCACCCCAGCAACAGCUUCUCUGUGGAACACCUGAUCAUGGGCAACCACAACCCCUGUGACGUGACUGGUGGCCCUGAGAACUGUCUCACCAGCCUGACCCAGGAUGGGGCAGGGUUGCGCUCCAGGCGCCGCUGGCAGCCCAGG